CGCGGGGUAGAGCAGUUGGCAGCUCGUCGGGCUCAUAACCCGAAGGUCGCAGGUUCGAGUCCUGCCCCCGCAA
This 73-nucleotide transfer RNA is filed under the name Mycoplasma putrefaciens Mput9231. It matches the Rfam family "tRNA". Rfam says of the family: Transfer RNA (tRNA) molecules are approximately 80 nucleotides in length. Their secondary structure includes four short double-helical elements and three loops (D, anti-codon, and T loops). Lineage: Bacteria; Bacillati; Mycoplasmatota; Mollicutes; Mycoplasmatales; Mycoplasmataceae. The record is from Rfam by way of RNAcentral.